RNAcentral lists this ribosomal RNA (468 nucleotides) under uncultured bacterium. RNAcentral's name for it is "partial 16S ribosomal RNA". It matches the Rfam family "Bacterial small subunit ribosomal RNA", at positions 28 to 507 of the family's 1533-position model. The record is from RNAcentral.
GACGAACGCUGGCGGCGCGCCUAACACAUGCAAGUCGAACGGAGUCAAGAGGAGCUUGCUUUUCUUGACUUAGUGGCGAACGGGUGAGUAACGCGUGAGUAACCUGCCCUGGAGUGGGGGACAACAGUUGGAAACGACUGCUAAUACCGCAUAAGCCCACGGAUCUGCAUGGAUCUGCGGGAAAAGGAUUUAUUCGCUCUAGGAUGGACUCGCGUCCACUUAGCUAGUUGGUGAGGUAACGGCCCACCAAGGCGACGAUUGGUAGCCGGACUGAGAGGUUGAACGGCCACAUUGGGACUGAGACACGGCCCAGACUCCUACGGGAGGCAGCAGUGGGGGAUAUUGCACAAUGGGGGAAACCCUGAUGCAGCGACGCCGCGUGGAGGAAGAAGGUUUUCGGAUUGUAAACUCCUGUCGUUAGGGACGAUAAUGACGGUACCUAACAAGAAAGCACCAGCUAACUACGUG